Molecule: ribosomal RNA, 269 nt
Filed under: uncultured bacterium
Lineage: Bacteria
Description: partial 16S ribosomal RNA
Rfam family: Bacterial small subunit ribosomal RNA
Source: RNAcentral
UUAAUGCCCCAUAGUAUUAUAGAAUGGCAUCAUUUUAUAAUUAAAGUCACAACGGUAAAAGAUGAGCAUGCGUCCCAUUAGUUAGUUGGUAAGGUAACGGCUUACCAAGACUAUGAUGGGUAGGGGUCCUGAGAGGGAGAUCCCCCACACUGGUACUGAGACACGGACCAGACUCCUACGGGAGGCAGCAGUGAGGAAUAUUGGACAAUGGGCGCAAGCCUGAUCCAGCCAUGCCGCGUGCAGGAAGACGCAUCUAUGGUGUGUAAACU